Molecule: microRNA precursor, 63 nt
Filed under: Strongylocentrotus purpuratus (purple sea urchin)
Lineage: Eukaryota; Metazoa; Echinodermata; Echinoidea; Camarodonta; Strongylocentrotidae
Description: Spu-Mir-8_pre stem-loop
Rfam family: mir-8/mir-141/mir-200 microRNA precursor family
About the family: The bounds of the precursors are predicted based on conservation and base pairing and are not generally known.
Source: RNAcentral
CAUCAUACUGGACAGCAUUGGACGUGAUUGGAUCGUUCUCUAAUACUGUCUGGUGAUGAUGUU